RNAcentral lists this ribosomal RNA (305 nucleotides) under uncultured bacterium. RNAcentral's name for it is "bacterial SSU rRNA". It matches the Rfam family "Bacterial small subunit ribosomal RNA", at positions 338 to 659 of the family's 1533-position model. The record is from RNAcentral.
CCUACGGGACGCAGCAGUGGGGGAUAUUGCACAAUGGGGGAAACCCUGAUGCAGCGACGCCGCGUGAGUGAAGAAGUAUUUCGGUAUGUAAAGCUCUAUCAGCAGGGAAGAAAAAAGACGGUACCUGACUAAGAAGCCCCGGCUAACUACGUGCCAGCAGCCGCGGUAAUACGUAGGGGGCAAGCGUUAUCCGGAUUUACUGGGUGUAAAGGGAGCGUAGACGGCAAUACAAGUCGGAAGUGAAAUACCCGGGCUCAACCCCGGGACUGCUCUUGGAACUGCGUGGCUGGAGUGCAGGAGGGGCA